This 253-nucleotide ribosomal RNA is filed under the name uncultured bacterium. Its description in RNAcentral is "partial 16S ribosomal RNA". It matches the Rfam family "Bacterial small subunit ribosomal RNA", at positions 524 to 776 of the family's 1533-position model. The record is from RNAcentral.
UACAGAGGUCUCAAGCGUUGUUCGGAUUCAUUGGGCGUAAAGGGUGCGUAGGCGGCGCGGUAAGUCGGGUGUGAAAUCUCGGGGCUUAACUCCGAAACUGCAUUCGAUACUGCCGUGCUUGAGGACUGGAGAGGAGACUGGAAUUUACGGUGUAGCGGUGAAAUGCGUAGAUAUCGUAAGGAAGACCAGUGGCGAAGGCGGGUCUCUGGACAGUUCCUGACGCUGAGGCACGAAGGUCAGGGGAGCGAACAGG